This 652-nucleotide ribosomal RNA is filed under the name Scolecobasidium humicola. Its description in RNAcentral is "LSU rRNA". It matches the Rfam family "Eukaryotic large subunit ribosomal RNA", at positions 1 to 667 of the family's 3401-position model. The record is from RNAcentral. Lineage: Eukaryota; Fungi; Ascomycota; Dothideomycetes; Venturiales; Sympoventuriaceae.
AUUGGCCUCGGAUCAGGUGGGGAUACCCGCUGAACUUAAGCAUAUCAAUAAGCGGAGGAAAAGAAACCAACAGGGAUUGCCUCAGUAACGGCGAGUGAAGCGGCAACAGCUCAAAUUUGAAAUCUGGGGCCUUCGGCUCCCGAGUUGUAAUUUGUAGAGGAUGCCUCGGGGGGUGCUUCGGCCCAAGUUCCUUGGAACAGGAUACCACAGAGGGUGAGAGUCCCGUAUCCGGCCGGCAGUGCCCUCCGCGCGAGGCUCCUUCGACGAGUCGAGUUGUUUGGGAAUGCAGCUCUAAGCGGGUGGUAAAUUCCAUCUAAAGCUAAAUACUGGCCAGAGACCGAUAGCGAACAAGUAGAGUGAUCGAAAGAUGAAAAGCACUUUGAAAAGAGAGUCAAACAGUACGUGAAAUUGUUGAAAGGGAAGCGUAUGGGGGCAGACUUGGCCGCGGGGUUCAGGGUGUCUUUUGGCGCCUGUACUUCCCCGUGGGCAGGCCAGCAUCGGUUUUGGGGGUUGGAUAAAGGCGUCGGGAAUGUGGCUCCCCUCGRGGAGUGUUAUAGCCCGUCGCGCAAUGCAGCCACCCGGGAUCGAGGACCGCGCUUCGGCAAGGAUGCUGGCGUAAUGGCCUCAUACGGCCCGUCUUGAAACACGGACC